RNAcentral lists this ribosomal RNA (408 nucleotides) under uncultured bacterium. Its description in RNAcentral is "partial 16S ribosomal RNA". It matches the Rfam family "Bacterial small subunit ribosomal RNA", at positions 28 to 526 of the family's 1533-position model. The record is from RNAcentral.
GACGAACGCUGGCGGCGUGCUUAACACAUGCAAGUCCAACGAAGUGGCGAACGGGUGAGUAACGCGUAAUCAACCUGCCCUUCAGAGGGGGACAACAGAUGGAAACGACUGCUAAUACCGCAUACUGAAGGAGGGGCGUGCGUCGGAUUAGCUAGGUGGAGGGGUAACGGCCCACAAAGGCGAUGAGCAGGAACACGUCUGCGAGGAUGAACGGCCAAAUUGGGACUGGGACACGGCCCAGACUCCUACGGGAGGCAGCAGUGGGGAAUCUUCCGCAAUGGACGAAAGUCUGACGGAGCAACGCCGCGUGAGUGAUGACGGCCUUCGGGUUGUAAAGCUCUGUUAAUCGGGACGCGGUACCUGAAUAGAAAGCCACGGCUAACUACGUGCCAGCAGCCGCGGUAAUUC